GUGGGGAAUCUUAGACAAUGGGGGAAACCCUGAUCUAGCCAUGCCGCGUGAGCGAUGAAGGCCUUAGGGUUGUAAAGCUCUUUCAGCUGGGAAGAUAAUGACGGUACCAGCAGAAGAAGCCCCGGCUAACUCCGUGCCAGCAGCCGCGGUAAUACGGAGGGGGCUAGCGUUGUUCGGAAUUACUGGGCGUAAAGCGCGCGUAGGCGGACCAGAAAGUUGGAGGUGAAAUCCCAGGGCUCAACCUUGGAACUGCCUUCAAAACUACUGGUCUGGAGUUCGAGAGAGGUGAGUGGAAUUCCGAGUGUAGAGGUGAAAUUCGUAGAUAUUCGGAGGAACACCAGUGGCGAAGGCGGCUCACUGGCUCGAUACUGACGCUGAGGUGCGAAAGCGUGGGGAGCAAACAGGAUUAGAAACCCUUGUAGUCC
This 425-nucleotide ribosomal RNA is filed under the name uncultured bacterium. RNAcentral describes it as "partial 16S ribosomal RNA". It matches the Rfam family "Bacterial small subunit ribosomal RNA", at positions 354 to 796 of the family's 1533-position model. The record is from RNAcentral.